ACUUCUUUAAAAGACCAAGCAAGAGGCUGUGUAUGUAUAAAAUUUUGCUCGCCCAUCCUUUCCAUGAAACAUUUGUGAUUUAAGCUUUAAGAAUCUUUGUGGGAUGAUUCUCCCCUCUUCCCAUUGCAAUAGACUUCUUAAUAAAAUGUUUUCAAGUUCCUGUCCAGAUUGGAUGACUUACUAUAGUGGUAAUGGUGCCAUGAUUUGAACAAAAUUCUGGCUGCCCCUCAACUGUUGUUUUUCUUCAACUUGCUGUGAUUGGACAGUAUGCUGACUUCCAGCCUGCUCUCUUCAGGCAAGUGGUGGUGCUGUCUCGUUAAACUCUUUGAAACCUGACUUGGAAAGCAAAAUCAAAAAUGGUAGACAACAAUCUUUAAUGAAAGUAUAAAUAAAGGAGCAUUUGGAACGAC
This is a long non-coding RNA of Mus musculus (house mouse), 410 nucleotides long. RefSeq annotates it as predicted gene 2682. NCBI's taxonomy places the organism in Eukaryota, Metazoa, Chordata, Mammalia, Rodentia, Muridae. The record is from RefSeq and is marked validated. The transcript has 2 exons.